This 468-nucleotide ribosomal RNA is filed under the name uncultured bacterium. RNAcentral's name for it is "partial 16S ribosomal RNA". It matches the Rfam family "Bacterial small subunit ribosomal RNA", at positions 28 to 507 of the family's 1533-position model. The record is from RNAcentral.
GACGAACGCUGGCGGCGUGCUUAACACAUGCAAGUCGAACGGAAAGACCCUGCUUUUGUGGGGUUUUCGAGCGGCGAACGGGCGAGUAACACGUGUGUAACCUACCCUUGACUUUGGGGUAACUUCUGCAGACUGCGGCUACUACCAGCUCGGAGCUCCUGCUGCCUGGAGGGGGUUGGAAAGUGUCGGCGGGUGGGGAUGGACUCGCGGCUUAUCAGCUCGUUGGUGGGGUAGUGGCUUACCCAGGCUUUGCGGGGCCUCCGGCCUGUGAGGGUGACCGGCGACAUUGGGACUGCGAUACGGCCCAGACUCCUACGGGAGGCAGCAGUGGGGAACAUUGCGCAAUGGGCGGAAGCCUGAUGCAGCAACGCCGCGGUCGUGAUGACGGCCUUCGGGUUGUAAACCGCGUUCGCCUGUGACGAAGCGUGAGUGACGGUAACGGGUAAAGAAGCACCGGCUAACUACGUG